AAAUGCCAAAGUAUCGGUUACAAGGUUCCUUACUCCUUGAGGCAUCAAAAACGAAAGACAAUGGAAGGCAGGAGGGAACCCUCUCCACAUCCCUGAGAGCCAGGCUGAAGGUUCUCCAAGGUCAAUUCCUAAAGCUGGAGGCCUCACCUGAAAACGUGGGGAUGAAGAACUCAGCCAGCCCUCUGGCAGAGCCCAUCGUGGACUGUAGAAAACUGGAGCCAGGUGCCUCUAUCAUACCCACCACCACAUUGCCACAGCAGCGUGAGCGAUGGCAGCAGCACUGGGCUAUGUGCUGCAGCACAUCCCGACCAGGCGCAGGUCACGCGCCCGCAGAUUAUCGGCUGGCCUCUGACAAUUUUUGCCCACAAAAUGUUGCUUCUGCACUUCUACAGCCUCUGACAUCCCAAAAUGUAGCUGCAGUCAGGUAAGAGCUGUGUGAUUAACCGAAGUGCUUUGGCAAAACGGGGAACAACCUUCUGUAUGGGGAGGCUCCUGAGAGGUGCAGGGUGCACAGCGAUGCACAAAGGGAUCGUCCCUGUGCCCUGCUGCCUUCUGCCAUCUCCUGCCCACAGCUUGGGGCAUUUGCUUGACGUCUGUGGGUAAGGGGAGCUGUGGGAAAGCUGAGAAUGAUUCAAUAUAAUAGCAUUUAAAAAAAAAAAAAGUAAAUUUAGCAUUUAGCUGAGGCGACUGGAUGUCUCCAGCACUGAUGGGACUGGAACAGGACGCGGUGCCUCUGGGCUGCCGGUGGGACUCGAGCCAUGGGGGCAGUGGCAGUGACCCCUGGGGGUGCUGCCCCGAUGCUGGGGACCGGUCACCCCCCCUGGCUGCUGUCACGGCUGUGUCCCAUGCGGGGGCCCCGUGGUGGAGCCGUGACACCCCCGUGCGCGGGGCUGUGCCAUCGGUGAGCGGCGCAUCACAGCCGGCCGGGUUUAUCACAACAAAGAUAACGCCGGUGUUUGCAGUCGUACAGAGGGAAAGAUAAGGGGAAGGAAGAGCCAGGGAGAGCUGGGCGACAAAGAUAAAUUUACCGUACUGCAGGAAAUCGAAAUGUGAAACGGAGAUCUCAAAGAACUGAAAUAUUUAAAAAGGUGCAGAGGGCCGGGCAGGGAGCCUGGCUUUGCACA
This 1124-nucleotide long non-coding RNA is filed under the name Anas platyrhynchos platyrhynchos (common mallard). RNAcentral describes it as "lncRNA (ENSAPLG00000020891.1)". The record is from RNAcentral. Lineage: Eukaryota; Metazoa; Chordata; Aves; Anseriformes; Anatidae.